Molecule: long non-coding RNA, 217 nt
Filed under: Gossypium barbadense (sea-island cotton)
Lineage: Eukaryota; Viridiplantae; Streptophyta; Magnoliopsida; Malvales; Malvaceae
Description: long non-coding RNA (GBAR_LNC015539)
Source: RNAcentral
UUUUCAGCCAAUAAAGUGGCAGCAUCAUUAACUGAAGAAGAAAAAUGACCACUUGCAUCAGGAUUCUUUUUUUUCCUCUUUGAAGAUGAGGAACCCCCUUGGUUUCUAUCUGGUUGCGGCUCCGUAGCAGAAACAUCCAUGUCCUCCAAAGAGACAUUAGCAUCGCAGUCAUAGUAUUCGUUUCUUUCUUCAUUAAUAUCUGCAGUAGGUACAUCCU